RNAcentral lists this ribosomal RNA (449 nucleotides) under uncultured bacterium. RNAcentral describes it as "partial 16S ribosomal RNA". It matches the Rfam family "Bacterial small subunit ribosomal RNA", at positions 29 to 523 of the family's 1533-position model. The record is from RNAcentral.
AACGAACACUGGCGGCAUGCCUAACACAUGCAAGUCGAACGAGAUCUUCGGGUCUAGUGGCGCACGGGUGCGUAACGCGUGGGAAUCUGCCCUUUGGUUCGGAAUAACAGUUGGAAGCGACUGCUAAUACCGGAUGAUGACGAAAGUCCAAAGAUUUAUCGCCAGAGGAUGAGCCCGCGUAGGAUUAGCUAGUUGGUGUGGUAAAGGCGCACCAAGGCGACGAUCCUUAGCUGGUCUGAGAGGAUGAUCAGCCACACUGGGACUGAGACACGGCCCAGACUCCUACGGGAGGCAGCAGUGGGGAAUAUUGGACAAUGGGCGAAAGCCUGAUCCAGCAAUGCCGCGUGAGUGAUGAAGGCCUUAGGGUUGUAAAGCUCUUUUACCCGGGAUGAUAAUGACAGUACCGGGAGAAUAAGCUCCGGCUAACUCCGUGCCAGCCGCCGCCGUAA